UGCAGCAUAUGAUUAGUUUCAUGAGUCUCUGCAGAUGAUCCAUUAUUCAGUUAGAAUAAGUGUAUAGAGAAGGAAGACUAGAUCCAAUAUUAGGGUUCCGCCAUAGCCAGGGAGUUGGUCGUCAGAGAUUUCUCUUUUGGCGAGGAAGUCAAUGCAGUUAUAGCUUACCCAAAUGCUUCACAUGGAUGCCGCACUCAAAUUUCUACUGUAUCUGCUGAAAUUCUCAUCAGUACCGUCGGUUGCCAUGGCCUUACAUCGACAAUACGUCUGCAGAUUAAUGAACGCCUUACGAACCCAAUUUUGCAGCAAUUUUAGAACAUGCGUGCGUUGAGAGAUUGCGCAAGGAACUAGACUGCUCGAUACACAAUCUCUUGAACCAUUGAACUGGACCUUAUGUACAAGAGAUAUCAAUCUUAGUAGGGUUGGCGAAUGGUGUGAUUCAUUUCUAUAUGGAAAAUCGAGAAUUUACCCCACUUUGUUAGUUUCAGCUUUAUAAUGUGGCCAAAGUGAUCAAGCGUUCUA
This is a non-coding RNA of Physcomitrium patens, 522 nucleotides long. Lineage: Eukaryota; Viridiplantae; Streptophyta; Bryopsida; Funariales; Funariaceae. The record is from RefSeq and is a predicted model, not a curated record.